UUCUAUGCAAAUUAUUCAUGCAGUGGGACAGCUAAUCGCCUGCCAAGAGCCCGCCCACUGCCUCUCUGCAAUUAGUCGUGAAGUUGAAGGAGCUCCAAACUCCGCAGGCGCACUCAGGGCCUCCUGCUCCUAUGGCUGGUUUUCAGACUAUAAACCCCACAUGGAGAAGGACCCUGUCUGCCUUCUCCACUGGGAUUUCCAUUCCCCGGCACCUGCCGCCAUGGCUGGCACAUAGCAGGCUGGUUUCCUGACUGACUGGAUGCUGGUGCACUGGGGCCUGCCUCACCGAUAAAACCCCGGCCCAGGGAUUGGCGGAACUGCCCAUGUCAGAUCGCUGCUCCAGCCUGCACUGCCUCUGAUGACAUCAUCUGGAACUGCUCAUUCCACCCAGCAUUCCGCAGAAGCCAGGCCCAGCAACAGGCUCAUUUGGGAUGCGCUACAAGGGACACAAGCGUCCAAGUCACUUACUCUUCCUCCUCGUCUCUCCUUCUCUUACCCAAGGACCACCUUCUCAGCAGGGGGAUGGGCCAUAGAGAGAAACAGGGGCAAAGUGGGGGGUCUAGAGGAUUAUUCAUGGGUACCAUCUGCCUGUGAGCUCCCAGGCCCUUCCCCAUACAAGGGCUGUCUCUAGGUGUCAGUUUCACAUGGGAAUUACCUGAUUGGAACCUGGAGUCAGACCAGGCCUGAGUUCAGAUCCAGUCCUAUUACUUACUGAAGUAAUUACUUUGAGCCUCAGUUUCUUCAGCUGUAAAAUGGGGAUGAUGACGAUAAUCUCACCUCCCUCACAGAGUUACUGGGCACUGUUUUUAUUUAUGAAAGCCUGCUUCAUUUGUCUGCCUGGCUGUUUUCCCCCACCAGUCCCAGGGCGCCGUGCCCUUUCCAGGGAGCACGCACUGAGGCCCAGAAACAGCCCGUGGGGUGCGGCAAGAGGCUGCUAUGGGGAGCCCAGGCCUCCUGCAAGAGGGCCCCAGGCCUCAGAAGCGGCAGGCCUGAUGCGGGUUGUAUCAAGUCAAUGCUCCGGCAGCAGCUACAUGUUCUGGCGUUUACCACGAGCCAGCUGCAGUUGUGAGUAGGUGCCAUGUGACGACUCAUCUAAUGCUCAGGGCAGUCCUGAGGGUAGGUGCUAUCUGCACCCUUCUUGGAAAGAUGAAGAAACUCCUCACCUGUAAGAUGAGAGUGAAGUGAGCAGCUCAAGGCCAUGCAGCUGCCAGGCAGAGGAGCUAUGGUCUGAACCCGACUAAUCUGGCUCCUGGGCCACAUGCCACCACUGUGCCACACUGUCCUUUGCCGCCACAGCCGUCCUCACUCCACCCCUCCCCUGUAGAUUCUUCCCAGACCUGUUGCCCAUUCCCUCUGCUCUCCUACCUUGUCUCAUCUCUUCCCAUCUGUUUCUCUCUCUCAAUCUCCCCUCUUUCCUUCCUUCCCCCCUCUCUUACUCUCUCCCAUCUUUCCCUCUCUGUUCCUCUACCUCAGGUAACUGUGCCACCUCAGAUAGGGAGGGGGGCAGAAGUAGGGGGCCCUGGGUCACUCUGAAGAGCCCUGAGACCCCCAUGGGGAGGGCCCCAUAUUAUCUAAGUGCAACAGGGAGACCUGUUACAAGAGGUGUGGCCUGGGAACUGCCUCUAUCCCUUAGCACCUCCAGACUCCGAAAGACAGAACUGCAGUUGCCAGAACCGUAGGAAACCAUAGGUCCCAAUGGGGUUCCCCACUCUCACAGAGCAGACUCGGGAGGUAAGAGUGUAAAUCAAGCCCCAGGCAGGAGUCCCUGGACCAGUUCCUCUCCGGAAUCUAGUUGUAUCCCCAGAUAAGGCAGGGGACCGAAGGAAUAGAGACCCCAAUCCUGUGCCACAGGCAGCCAAAGGGCUCCUGAGCCCCUCAGGGGCUCAUGCUUUUCCUGCAGAGGCCACAAGGUCUGCAAAACCCAAUGCCAAGGGGAUAGUCUGGAGAAAGGGCUGUUGGAUUGGGCUCAGAGCAUGUAAGCUCAGAGAAGAGGGGUCCAGGCGGCACCCACUGGAAACCUUGGGUAGGUGUGCAGCCUGGGGCUCAAGAGGGGAAGAAACUGGUGUUUGGAGGAAGCCAGCAGCACAGAGGAUUUUCACAUUUCAUAAAGGGGAAGGAUGGUGCUCUAGAAUAAAAACCACUUUGGAGAGUCCAAAAUAUUUGAAUCCAAGUCUGUUUUCCUUCACUGGAAAUAGGCUUUACAAGCUAAUCUCUCUCUGAGCUGCAGGUUUCCUUUUUCCCUUAAACCUGCCCUUGACGCCCCCCCCCCUUUCUCUUCCUGCUAUGGAAGUUCCAUAGUAAAGCGUCUUUCGCCUCUG
Leopardus geoffroyi (Geoffroy's cat) is the source of this 2318-nucleotide long non-coding RNA. RefSeq lists it as uncharacterized. The record is from RefSeq and is a predicted model, not a curated record. The transcript has 2 exons. NCBI's taxonomy places the organism in Eukaryota, Metazoa, Chordata, Mammalia, Carnivora, Felidae.